RNAcentral lists this unclassified non-coding RNA (243 nucleotides) under Hevea brasiliensis (rubber tree). Lineage: Eukaryota; Viridiplantae; Streptophyta; Magnoliopsida; Malpighiales; Euphorbiaceae. The record is from RNAcentral.
GUCAUUGAUAUGGUAAAAGUGGAUGAUGGAGAUCUUGGAGGGAAAGAUAAAAAAUGCUUUGGUGGGAUGUUUAAGGCUUCUAUGCUACCUUUUAGCAUUUCUAUCACCUUACUUAUAGAUGGUCUCUCUGAUGGAAUUGUUUGGAUGCACCACAGGCCAAUUAUUGUCAAUUUCCUAACAAUUUCAUUCUCUUCUAUGGAAUUCUCACCACACAAUUUAGAUUUAUUGCCUUGCUCAAGUUGU